AGAAUGAACGCUAGCGAUAUGCUUAACACAUGCAAGUUGAACGUUGUUUUCGAAUCAGAAUGAGAACAAAGUAGUGAACGGGUGCGUAACACGUGGGAAUCUGCCGAACAGUUUGGGCCAAAUCCCGAAUGAAUAAAAGCUAAAAAGCGCUGUUUGAUGAGCCCACGUAGUAUUAGGUAGUUGGUUAGGUAAAAGCUGACCAAGCCUACGAUGCUUAGCUGGUCUUUUCGGAUGAUCAGCCACACUGGGACUGAGACACGGCCCAGACUCCUACGGGAGGCAGCAGUGGGGAAUCUUGGACAAUGGGCGAAAGCCUGAUCCGGCAAUAUGGCGUGAGUGAAGAAGGGCAACGCAGCUUGUAAAGCUCUUUCAUCGAGUGUGCGAUUGUGACAAGACUCGAAUAAGAAGCCCCGGCUAACUCCGUGCCAGCAGCCGC
RNAcentral lists this ribosomal RNA (436 nucleotides) under uncultured bacterium. RNAcentral describes it as "SSU rRNA". It matches the Rfam family "Bacterial small subunit ribosomal RNA", at positions 26 to 518 of the family's 1533-position model. The record is from RNAcentral.